CACGGGGGUUGCGAGCGUUGUCCGGAUUUAUUGGGCGUAAAGAGCGCGUAGGCGGCUUGUUAAGUCAGAUGUGAAAACCGGGGGCUCAACCCGCGGCCUGCAUCUGAAACUGGCAGGCUUGAGUCUGGUAGAGGAAAGUGGAAUUCCCAGUGUAGCGGUGAAAUGCGCAGAUAUUGGGAGGAACACCAGUGGCGAAGGCGGCUUUCUGGGCCACGACUGACGCUGAGGCGCGAAAGCUAGGGGAGCGAACAGG
RNAcentral lists this ribosomal RNA (253 nucleotides) under uncultured bacterium. Its description in RNAcentral is "partial 16S ribosomal RNA". It matches the Rfam family "Bacterial small subunit ribosomal RNA", at positions 524 to 776 of the family's 1533-position model. The record is from RNAcentral.